Molecule: ribosomal RNA, 775 nt
Filed under: uncultured Neocallimastigales
Lineage: Eukaryota; Fungi; Neocallimastigomycota; Neocallimastigomycetes; Neocallimastigales
Description: partial large subunit ribosomal RNA
Rfam family: Eukaryotic large subunit ribosomal RNA
Source: RNAcentral
UUAUGUGAUCGUCUCUCGCAUAUCAAUAAGCGGAGGAAAAGAAACUAACAAGGAUUCCCCUAGUAACGGCGAGUGAAGCGGGAAGAGCUCAAAUUUGAAAUCUUAAAGGGUUUCCCUUUACGAAUUGUAGUUUAAAGAAGUGUUUUCUGUUGAGGUUUUGGUAAAAGUUCUUUGGAAUAGGACAUCAUAGAGGGUGAGAAUCCCGUAUUUGACCUUUACUUUCAACUUUGUGAUACACUUUCAAAGAGUCGGAUUGUUUGGGAAUGCAGUCCAAAAUGGGUGGUAAAUUUCAUCUAAAGCUAAAUAUUGGCGAGAGACCGAUAGCGAACAAGUACCGUGAGGGAAAGAUGAAAAGAACUUUGAAAAGAGAGUUAAACAGUACGUGAAAUUGUCAAAAGGGAAGCGUUUGACACCAGUGUUGUUUUUCUGAAGAUCAAUUAAAGAACUGUUUAUGCUAAGUUGUUUAGACUUUAUCAGCUAACUGUUUAGUUUUGAGCUUUUCUUUAAUGCACUUUUCAGUUAACAAGUCAACAUCAAUUUCUUUUGCUGUAAAAAAGCUUGAGGAAGGUGGCUUGAGAUUCGUCUUAAGUGUUUAUAGCCUCUUGCCUAUGCAGUCGGAGAGAUUGAGGUCUGCAGCGUAGAUCCUUCGGGGCUAAAUGCAUUUGUGCUAAGUUAUAGCAUUUUAUAGACAACUUGUUGACUAUGAUUUGUCUUGUAGCUUACUCGCUUAUGUUAUUUUACCUACGCUUAGGAUGUUGAUCUACAGAGCGAGAGU